UACGUAGGGGGCAAGCGUUAUCCGGAUUUACUGGGCGUAAAGCGCGCGCAGGCGGCACUUCAAGUAAGGUGUGAAAUCUCCCUGCUCAACGGGGAGGGUGCACUUUAGACUGAGGAGCUAGAGGACGGUAGAGGGGGGUGGAAUUGCUGGUGUAGCGGUGAAAUGCGUAGAGAUCAGCAGGAACACCCGUGGCGAAGGCGGCCCCCUGGGCCGUACCUGACGCUGAGGCGCGAAGGCUAGGGGAGCGAACGGG
Molecule: ribosomal RNA, 253 nt
Filed under: uncultured bacterium
Lineage: Bacteria
Description: partial 16S ribosomal RNA
Rfam family: Bacterial small subunit ribosomal RNA
Source: RNAcentral